AUUGAGCGCUGGCGGCAUGCUUUACACAUGCAAGUCGAGCGGCAGCGCGGGGGCAACCCUGGCGGCGAGCGGCGAACGGGUGAGUAAUGCAUCGGAACGUAUCCUCGAGUGGGGGAUAACCCAGCGAAAGUUGGGCUAAUACCGCAUGAGCUCUGAGGAGGAAAGCGGGGGACCUGCGAGGGCCUCGCGCUGGAGGAGCGGCCGAUGUCCGAUUAGCUAGUUGGUGGGGUAAAGGCUUACCAAGGCGACGAUCGGUAGCUGGUCUGAGAGGAUGAUCAGCGACACUGGGACUGAGACACGGCCCAGACUCCUAAGGGAGGCAGCAGUGGGGAAUUUUGGACAAUGGGGGCAACCCUGAUCCAGCCAUGCCGCGUGAGUGAAGAAGGCCUUCGGGUUGUAAAGCUCUUUCGGACGGAACGAAAUGGGCGGGACUAAUACUCCUGUCGGAUGACGGUACCGUAAGAAGAAGCACCGGCUAACUACGUG
This 486-nucleotide ribosomal RNA is filed under the name uncultured bacterium. RNAcentral's name for it is "partial 16S ribosomal RNA". It matches the Rfam family "Bacterial small subunit ribosomal RNA", at positions 29 to 507 of the family's 1533-position model. The record is from RNAcentral.